This 1351-nucleotide ribosomal RNA is filed under the name metagenome. Its description in RNAcentral is "SSU rRNA". It matches the Rfam family "Eukaryotic small subunit ribosomal RNA", at positions 528 to 1777 of the family's 1831-position model. The record is from RNAcentral.
AAUCCCUUAUCGAUUAACAAUUAGAGGGCAAGUCUGGUGCCAGCAGCCGCGGUAAUUCCAGCUCUAAUAGCGUAUAUUAAAGUUGUUGCAGUUAAAAAGCUCGUAGUUGGAUUUCGGCGUGCGCUCAGGCUGGUCGGCCGUCAAGGUCUGUACCGUUUGGGUCACGCCCCACUGUAGGAUACUCACCGCUGUCCUUAACUGGGUGGCGGUCAAAGGGGGUGUGCAUGGGGGCAACUCUGUGCAUAUCUCUGGGGUUCCUACUCUUUUACUUUGAGCAAAUUAGAGUGUUCAAAGCAGGCAAUCGAGCCUUGAAUACUUCAGCAUGGGAUAAUGGAACAGGACUGGGGUCCUGAUUUCGUUGGUUUCUGGGAUCUCAGUAAUGAUUAAUAGGGAUAGUUGGGGGCAUUAGUAUUUAAUUGUCAGAGGUGAAAUUCUUGGAUUUAUGAAAGACAAACUUCUGCGAAAGCAUUUGCCAAGGAUGUUUUCAUUAAUCAAGAACGAAAGUUAGGGGAUCGAAGACGAUCAGAUACCGUCGUAGUCUUAACCAUAAACGAUGCCGACCAGCGAUUGGGAGACGUUACAUGGAUGACUCCCCCAGCAGCUUGCGAGAAAUCACAAGUCUUUGGAUUCCAGGGGGAGUAUGGUCGCAAGGCUGAAACUUAAAGGAAUUGACGGAAGGGCACCACCAGGAGUGGAGCCUGCGGCUUAAUUUGACCCAACACGGGGAAACUUACCAGGUCCAGACAUAGUAAGGAUUGACAGAUUUGAGAGCUCUUUCUUGAUUCUAUGGGUGGUGGUGCAUGGCCGUUCUUGGUUGGUGGAGUGAUUUGUCUGGUUAAUUCCGUUAACGAACGAGACCUUAACCUGCUAAAUAUGUCACUGGUAGACUUCUGCCAAAACAGGUGGGUGUCUAGGGGAAAGUUUCGAUGGACUCCGACGCAUUCAUCUGUGGAUGACUACCAGGAUGUACUUCUUAGAGGGACUAUCUGUAUCAAAGCAGAUGGAAGUUUGAGGCAAUAACAGGUCUGUGAUGCCCUUAGAUGUUCUGGGCCGCACGCGCGCUACACUGACAAGUUCAACGAGUUUAACACCUUGCUCGAUAGGGCUGGGUAAUCUUUGAAAAACUUGUCGUGAUGGGGAUAGAUCAUUGUAAUUAUUGGUCUUCAACGAGGAAUUCCUAGUAAGCGUGAGUCAUCAGCUCGCGUUGAUUACGUCCCUGCCCUUUGUACACACCGCCCGUCGCUCCUACCGAUUGAAUGAUCCGGUGAAAUGUUGGGAGCUGGGGUCUUUUGGCGGCGGGGCAACUCGUCGUCAGGGAUUCUGCAAACUUCAUUAAACCUUAUCAUUUAGA